This 810-nucleotide unclassified non-coding RNA is filed under the name Centruroides sculpturatus (bark scorpion). RNAcentral's name for it is "venom metalloproteinase antarease TserMP_A-like, transcript variant X2". Lineage: Eukaryota; Metazoa; Arthropoda; Arachnida; Scorpiones; Buthidae. The record is from RNAcentral.
AAAGAAAGGAAGUAAUUUAUUUUAAUCGAUAUAAAUUCCAUGAGAGGAAAUUCAAUUAAAAUUAAGUCAAGAUUCGAUAUCCUUUAUCGAUAAUAAAUUAUUAUUAAUACUUAAAUUUCGAUGUAAUUAAGACGACAUUUCAAAUCCAAAAAUGAAUUGUUUAAUUACAUUUGCAAUGGUUUUCUCCAUUAUUAUAGUGGAUACUUAUGAAAAAAGUUUCGGACUCAAGCAAUCGAAAAAAUCACCUAUGACAGAGAAGAGAACCGUAGAAGAUGUAGCAGAUGCACAGAAUUUUGAAAUAGAUUCUACACCACCGUGUCCGGUGAUUGAAUGUGUGAUAGUGACCGAUAGUUUCAUUUCUAUAUAUUUUAGCGAAGAAGAAAUAAGACCAUAUCUAAAUAAGAUAAUUCGUAUUGAAAGGUAUCUCGAUGAAUUAGAACUAAAUCUAACACUUCGUUUGAUUGGACGUAUCUCGUACACAAGCGAAACUGAACCGAAUUACAUUAAAGAAAGUCUCUAUUCGCCCGAUAUCAUCGCUGGUAGUGUCCUUUCUAAAAUGAUUGAGAUUGAAGACAGUCCUGUUGUAUCAAGACCCGAUAUUAUUGUUCUUCUAACUGGGUAAGAAUGAAUUAUGACAAUCGCAGAACAUAGCAUCUUUACAGACUAUGCGGUUGAUACCUUUAUCCACGAACUUGGACACCUAAUCAAUAUUGGUCACGAUUCGGAAGCUAAAAAUUGCUCACCCGUCUUGCUUCCUGGAAAAAAUCAUUAAUGUUAUUGCGCUAAGAAAGGCGUAACAGAAUUUUUAGA